RNAcentral lists this long non-coding RNA (1720 nucleotides) under Zostera marina. Its description in RNAcentral is "long non-coding RNA (ZMAR_LNC004080)". The record is from RNAcentral. Lineage: Eukaryota; Viridiplantae; Streptophyta; Magnoliopsida; Alismatales; Zosteraceae.
CUUUUGUGCUGUCCUAGGGUCUAUAAAUAGGACCCCUAGGUUCUCCUUUUCCUUCAUCCAUCCAUGGCUCUUCUUGUGAGUCUCUUUGCUGAUUUUAUUCAGGGAGAGAUUGAGGAGCUGGAUCGAAUUUUGAAUAUUUUGGAUCCUCGGUCGUCAACCUUGGAUCUUCCUUCUCUGCGCCAGCUUAUUGUUGAGCGGCAGAGUGUUGCUGUUGCUGCUCGGGAGUCCCUUUUCGAAGAAUGGUCUGGUUGCGAUCUUCCGCCUGCCUCUUCUUCUGCUAUUCCUCCCCGUGGCCGACGUCGGAGGCGUCCCCGCCGCGGUGCUUCUCCGCUGGAUCAGGUCCCUCGUCGCUUGUGUCGCCGUAUUAAUUUUAAUUAGGAGCCUGUAAAAUUUUUCAUUCAUCAUUUUUGCAAUUUUGAAUAAAUAUCUUUUACCUUUUCCUUUAUUUGCCUUACACCUUUACUUUGAAGUACGUUAGUGUAACCGAAAUUUUUCUUGGUCAGUACCAUAUUCCUUUUUUCCUUUUCUAAAGGUGUCUGAUUUUUGGCAAGUCGAUCUCGUUGAAAUGUCGAUGUUGCCUAAAAAUGUCGAUCCCACCUUUUUUUCCGAGAAAGUCGAUGACUGCUGAUCCUUUUCUAAAGGUGUCGACUUUUUGACAAGGCGAUCUCAUUUCUCCCUGGAAAUGUCGAUGUUGUAAAAAAUGUCGAUCCCACCUUUUUUCUGAGGAUGUCGAAGACUGCUGAUCCUUUUCUAAAGGUGUCGAAUUUUUGACAAGUCGAUCUCAUUUCUCCCUGGAAAUGUCGAAGUUGUAAAAAAUGUCGAUCCCACCUUUUUUCUGAGGAUGUCGAAGACUGCUGAUCCUUUUCUAAAGGUGUCGAAUUUUUGACAAGUCGAUCUCAUUCCUCCCUGGAAAUGUCGAUGUUGUAAAAAAUGUCGAUCCCACCUUUUUCUGAGGAUGUCGAUGAGAGUGGUGUGGAAUGUCGAACCUGACCUUCUCUUUUGAAGGUUUCGAAUUCCUUGCCAAAUGUCGACGCCUAUUCCCUUCUCCUGGGAAUGUCGAACAUGCUUUCCUGCGGAAUGUCGAUCCUGACCUUCUCUUUGGAAGGUAUCGACUUCCUUGUUAAAUGUCGACACCUAUCCCCUUUUCCUGGGAAUGUCGAACAUGCUUUUCUGCGGAAUGUCGAUCCUGACCUUUUCUUUUGAAGGUGUCGACUUCCUUGUUAAAUGUCGACGCCUAUCCCCUUUUCCUGGGAAUGUCGAACAUGCUUUUCUGCGGAAUGUCGAAGGUUUUUCUGAAAUGUCGAUGGAUCUUCUUGAAAUGUCGAUGGCCUCUAGUUGGGUUUUGGGGUUUUUCACGGACUGGGCCGUCUUGGGCCUGCCGGGCCCGUGGACUUCCUGGUCCAACGGGUCCACCCGGAUGAACAGUGCCCGCGACGGUUCGUAUUCGACUUUCCCCUAUAAAUAGCGGAUGGAGUUCAUUUGUUUUCUCACUCGUUUUCUUCGCUCUGAGGCAUCGACUUUCUUCGCCUCGACUUUCUCGCUUCGACUUCCAGUUCCUUCGCUUCGACUUCCAGCGUGCGUGAGGCUUCGACUUUAGCCUUGGAGGUGCAGCUUUCUGGGGUCCGACUUUUGUUGUCGGGCUCUACUGAGGCUGUACUGGGUUCGACUUCCUUGGUGUCCGACUUUUCUGAAAGUCGGUCCCUUUCGAAGUUGUUCCCCA